Molecule: ribosomal RNA, 492 nt
Filed under: uncultured bacterium
Lineage: Bacteria
Description: partial 16S ribosomal RNA
Rfam family: Bacterial small subunit ribosomal RNA
Source: RNAcentral
AGUGAACGCUGGCGGUAGGCCUAACACAUGCAAGUCGAACGGCAGCACAGUAAGAGCUUGCUCUUACGGGUGGCGAGUGGCGGACGGGUGAGGAAUACAUCGGAAUCUACUUGUUCGUGGGGGAUAACGUAGGGAAACUUACGCUAAUACCGCAUACGACCUACGGGUGAAAGCAGGGGAUCUUCGGACAUUGCGCGAUCGAAUGACCCGAUGUCGGAUUAGCUAGUUGGCGGGGUAAAGGCCCACCAAGGCGACGAUCCGUAGCUGGGCUGAGAGGAUGAUCAGCCACACUGGAACUGAGACACGGUCCAGACUCCUACGGGAGGCAGCAGUGGGGAAUAUUGGACAAUGGGCGCAAGCCUGAUCCAGCCAUGCCGCGUGGGUGAAGAAGGCCUUCGGAUUGUAAAGCCCUUUUGGUUGGAAAGAAAAGCAGUAGGUUAAUACCCCGCUGUUCUGACGGUACCCAAAGAAUAAGCACCGGCUAACUUCGUG